Molecule: long non-coding RNA, 1158 nt
Organism: Dromaius novaehollandiae (emu)
Lineage: Eukaryota; Metazoa; Chordata; Aves; Casuariiformes; Dromaiidae
Exons: 2
Source: RefSeq, a predicted model, not a curated record
CCGCCAUGGCAGCGCCAGGACAGGCCGCUCGGCUCACGGCAUUGCCGUGGCAACGCGGCGGCGGAGCCUGGCCAACCCGCUAGCGCGACGCAGCGGGCCUUAGUCUCCGCCCCCUCUCGUCCCUCCGGCCAAUCGGCGCCGCCGCCCCCGUGCGGCCCUCCCCUCCCUCCCUCUCGCGCGCGGGGGCCGCGUCACUGCUCGACGCCCCGCUUCAAGAAGAGUCAGAAGUGCUUAUGUGAACAUUCAUGGGGAUUUCUCUGAAACUUGUGCAGUUCUUCAGAAAGUUUUUUUGGAAGGUUGAAGGUCCACGAGGAUUGAGAGGUAUGCCUCAUCUACUAAUGUGACAGUAUGAGAUAAAUUUGAAUCAACUCAUUAAGGGUGUGAUUUCCUCCUCCACAGAAUGUAUUCAUCAGUGCAUGAGAAUUUUUUUCUUUAGGGAAUAAUUUUACAUUGGCCUUGUUCAAGGUAAGGAAAUGAACUAGACAAAACUGAGCAAGUCUCUUCCAUUUCUAACCCUGGAGAUGUCUGCAGCCUGAUAACAGUAGGUUAUUCUGCUAUUUCCUUCCUUCCUAGAACAACAAAAGCCUGCAGCUGAAAAGUCAGUGUCAUUCCAAGUUUGAAGUGCAGAAGGGGACUAUAUAGCUGUGUGGCUCUGAUUAUUUUGUCCUGUGCACGUGCCAUUACUGGCUUCCAUACAGAAGAUAAGCAGCUUCAAAAGUAAAAAACAACCUGUGGAGAUGUUUGGCUUUCGUUGUAACAAAAUUCAAGCAAUGCACAGUGUGAAUUGUAUGCACCUUUGGACUUAAGCACAUGAAACAGGAAUAUUCAAAAAUAAUGCUUAGUAGCUGAAUUUGAUACCUGACUGCAGUACAGAGAUAACCACACAAAACAGGAGGACUGUUCCCUAUCACAAACUUAUCACUGAAAAAAUACAGCUGCUGCAGCUGCUUCCAUUCUUGGUCCCUUCCAUGCAUGACAGCUGGCUCCUGAAGUAGGCAACAUGCAAUUCUGAUCACCCUUAGCAGCCAAGAGGUCAAGACCAGAUAACUAAUAUGCGCAACUUACUAUAAGUUGUCUGAAGAGCAGAAAUAGUUCUAAAAACAGCAGGAGGGCAAGGUCUUAAUGGGCAACAAAUAAAGGAGACUUCUUUAUCAUUUA